Molecule: non-coding RNA, 822 nt
Organism: Peromyscus maniculatus bairdii (prairie deer mouse)
Lineage: Eukaryota; Metazoa; Chordata; Mammalia; Rodentia; Cricetidae
Source: RefSeq, a predicted model, not a curated record
CGCCUUCCCCAGACCCCCGCGACCUAUCCAUUCUUUCAUUUUCUUUGGCCACCAAAUGUGAGGCCCCCCUAAAAGACAAUCAGCUUCUCAUUGUCAGAAUCAGCUGGAUUAGGACUGGGUGCCAGCAUUGUCCUGCACAACAUCAUCCUGCACUUCCUCAUCACGCCCGGAUGCUGACCAAGUGGAGAAAACAUGGAGACGAAACGUCAAAAUCUGCCUCACUAGAGAUGCUGCAGAACGACCCUUUGUCACCCACGGACUCUGGUCUACAGAUAGCUGAGUUGAGGUGUAAAAGAGCGUCCUGUUUUUAUGUGACGCACACUGAAACGUAUGCGCGCGCGUGAUGGUGGCUUUUCACCGUCAGCCUGAUGUAAACACCCUCCGCCGAGUCUGUCUACCAGAGUGUGUCCAGGAAGGUUUGACAAAUCCCGGAUGCCUGGAUGUGAGCGGCACUUUCUUAGGAACUGAGGCCUCAGACUGACUUUAAAAAGGAGGGAGGGAGCCGAGAAGCAGCUUCCUCUCUGCUUCCUGACUGGAUGCCCGUGUAUGACAGGCUCCCCACAGUGAUGGGCUGUACCCUCAAACCAAGCCUCCCCCCAAAACCUUUCCUCACUCACGUCGCUUUGUCAGAUGUUGUCAUAGCAAUGAGAGAAGAAAUUAAUACAGCAAGGCAGAGAGUCCAGGGAGGAAAAAACAGAGUUAAUACUAAAAACUGGCAAAUCUCAAUGUAGAUGCUCUAGCUUUUAUUACUAUUCUUAAAACGUUGAAAUGUUCGGUUUGUAUGAAAUUAUCUCAAACUAAGAAAAAACAUUAAAUACCCAG